GCAGGCGCGAAACCUUUACACUGCACGACAGUGCGAUAGGGGGAUCCCAAGUGCACAGGCAUAGCGCCUGUGCUUUUCGGUACCCUAAGGCGGUACCAGAAUAAGGGCUGGGCAGGACCGGUGCCAGCCGCCGCGGUAAUACCGGCAGCCCAAGUGAUGGCCGAUCUUAUUGGGCCUAAAGCGUCCGUAGCUGGCCGUACAAGUCCAUCGGGAAAUCCACCUGCUCAACAGGUGGGCGCCCGGUAGAAACUGUGCGGCUUGGGACCGGAAGGCGCGACGGGUACGUCCGGGGUAGGAGUGAAAUCCCGUAAUCCUGGACGGACCGCCGAUGGCGAAAGCACGUCGCGAGAACGGAUCCGACAGUGAGGGACGAAAGCCAGGGUCUCGAACCGGAUUAGAUACCCGGGUAGUCCUGGCCGUAAACAAUGUCUGCUAGGUGUGGCUCCCACUACGAGUGGGUGCUGUGCCGUAGGGAAGCCGCUAAGCAGACCGCCUGGGAAGUACGUCCGCAAGGAUGAAACUUAAAGGAAUUGGCGGGGGAGCACUACAACCGGAGGAGCCUGCGGUUUAAUUGGAUUCAACGCCGG
This 587-nucleotide ribosomal RNA is filed under the name uncultured haloarchaeon. RNAcentral describes it as "bacterial SSU rRNA". It matches the Rfam family "Archaeal small subunit ribosomal RNA", at positions 335 to 921 of the family's 1478-position model. Lineage: Archaea; Methanobacteriati; Methanobacteriota; Halobacteria; Halobacteriales; Halobacteriaceae. The record is from RNAcentral.